Molecule: long non-coding RNA, 761 nt
Filed under: Marmota monax (woodchuck)
Lineage: Eukaryota; Metazoa; Chordata; Mammalia; Rodentia; Sciuridae
Source: RNAcentral
GGUGUCUAUUUGAAACGAGUGGGAAGAAGGAAUCUCUGGCUGAGCUGUGAGGUGGAGGGAAGGUGGCCUUUUAGAAGGCAGGAGGCGCCUGCAAUUUGGAGGACCUCCACUGGGGGGAGCUCCACUGGGAGAAGGAAGGUGCAUUUGUGGCCCUGCUUCCUACACGUUGGGAAAAGUGAGUGCGGGACACAGGUAGGGAGCAAAGGGGACACCUGGGAGCUGAGCCUCCCUUCCAAACCCAGGGAACCAGGGGACAGGGCCCAGGGCCACCCGACAGCGGCGACUCCGCCGGCACUCGGCAGCUCACCCGCCCGCCGGGCCCCAAGGCCGGUGCUGACCGCCUACCUUCCGCGAACUCACCAUUUUUAGCUUCUCUGGUGACCUGACGUCCUCUGGAGGAAACUCCGGGCACCCGAGAUCCCCGAGAAACGGGCAGCGCAGUCACCUGGGUCCCUGGAGCAGAGAACUCGGGGCCUGGAGCAGGAGUAACCCAGUCGAUGAGGAAGAAAAGCCCGCGAGCUUGCGGAAGCCCGCCCUUCCCUUUCCUCUGCGCACUGAUUGGACAGUUCCCCCCAGCGACCCGGAUGGAUGGCCUCCAGGCCCGCCUCAGCAUCGUGACUGACAGCUAACAUCAUCCAAUCACUGGCUGAAAUUGGGUAGAGUGACAGAUCCUUGGCCCCAGCCCUCUUCAGGAGGAGCUUCCCGGCUGUGCUGGGAACUAAUCCAGGUGAGAAGCCUUGGCUUAGCCUCUGGGACAGAGG